This 488-nucleotide ribosomal RNA is filed under the name Spirochaetaceae bacterium. RNAcentral's name for it is "bacterial SSU rRNA". It matches the Rfam family "Bacterial small subunit ribosomal RNA", at positions 1 to 503 of the family's 1533-position model. The record is from RNAcentral. Lineage: Bacteria; Pseudomonadati; Spirochaetota; Spirochaetia; Spirochaetales; Spirochaetaceae.
UUUACGGAGAGUUUGAUCCUGGCUCAGGACGAACGCUGGCGGCGUGCUUAACACAUGCAAGUCGAACGGUGAACCAGGGCUUGCCCUGGGAAUCAGUGGCGAACGGGUGAGUAACACGUGACCAACCUGCCCCUAACUCUGGGAUAACCCCGGGAAACCGGAGCUAAUACCGGAUACGAGACCGAGUGGCAUCACACGGUCUGGAAAGUUUUUCGGUUAGGGAUGGGGUCGCGGCCUAUCAGCUUGUUGGUGGGGUAAUGGCCUACCAAGGCGACGACGGGUAGCCGGCCUGAGAGGGCGACCGGCCACACUGGGACUGAGACACGGCCCAGACUCCUACGGGAGGCAGCAGUGGGGAAUAUUGCGCAAUGGGCGAAAGCCUGACGCAGCGACGCCGCGUGAGGGAUGACGGCCUUCGGGUUGUAAACCUCUUUCAGCAGGGAAGAAGCGAAAGUGACGGUACCUGCAGAAGAAGCACCGGCUAACUA